Perca flavescens (yellow perch) is the source of this 216-nucleotide long non-coding RNA. RefSeq lists it as uncharacterized. NCBI's taxonomy places the organism in Eukaryota, Metazoa, Chordata, Actinopteri, Perciformes, Percidae. The transcript is spliced from 3 exons. The record is from RefSeq and is a predicted model, not a curated record.
GUGGACGUCCCGGUGUGGCUAGAUGAACACCUGGGCUGCUGCCGUUGUGUGCCUCGUUGGGUGCUGUGUGGUUGCGCGGAUUGCUUGCCCCCCUGCCGGGGUCUGAGGGCGGCGUGUCCUGUAAAGCGCUGCAAAGAGCUACAGCCUUGUGCAUGCUGCUGUGGAGGCUGCCGGUGCAACAGAUAUCUAGGGCCAACACUCCCCAGCGCGUUUCUC